Molecule: long non-coding RNA, 315 nt
Filed under: Anolis carolinensis (green anole)
Lineage: Eukaryota; Metazoa; Chordata; Lepidosauria; Squamata; Anolidae
Description: lncRNA (ENSACAG00000042451.1)
Source: RNAcentral
AGAGCAGAGAGAACUCGGGAUAUUUCAAAAGCAGCAGAAAGGUUGGCAGAAGCUGGAGCAACAGCGGGCGCUCACUCCGCUCCCGGGAUUUGAACCUGCGACUUUUCGGUCUCAGUUACUUUAUCGGGGAAUACCAGAAGGGGAGAUGAGAAGGCCAUUCAAUCAGUUCUGCCAGAAGACCAGACCGGCUAUGUGAAAACUACAAGCUUUUGUUCCUUUUGACUACAGCUGAGAUAGGACUUUGAGGCUUUGGAUUGCGUGUCCUUCUGCUUGUGUCUGGUCUCUAUAAUCAAUUUUAAUUACAGGAAAGGGAAG